GUGCUCACUUUGGCAGCACUUAUACUAAAAUUGGAAUGAUACAGAGAAGAUUAGCCUGUACCCUGUGCAAGGACACACAAAUUUGUGAAGUGUUCCAUAUUUUA
Molecule: small nuclear RNA, 104 nt
Filed under: Catagonus wagneri (Chacoan peccary)
Lineage: Eukaryota; Metazoa; Chordata; Mammalia; Artiodactyla; Tayassuidae
Source: RNAcentral